AUCCGAGGCUCAAGUUGAGGGAUGUCAGACGAUCUUCCUGUAGGCCUGAUAGGCCUUACCAUCUAGUCGUGUUACUCCACUCAUCAGCUAUACACCACGUCGCCUCACCGUCUCUUUCACAGCCCACUACGCACCGAGCGAGUUUAUGAUCAAUGUCAGAAGUAUUUAUGUAUAUCCUCUACAGUCCGAUAUGAUGGGACACUGCGGAAGUGCCCCCUUGUCCUUUCAACCUUGACUUUAGUCUCUUUCUUUUUCUGGAGGAGCAUUAAUAAAGUUGCGGCACCGAUCCCUAUCUCAUUGAUCGAUUUAGGUACCCUACCGG
This 322-nucleotide long non-coding RNA is filed under the name Elaeis guineensis (African oil palm). RNAcentral's name for it is "long non-coding RNA (EGUI_LNC019125)". The record is from RNAcentral. Lineage: Eukaryota; Viridiplantae; Streptophyta; Magnoliopsida; Arecales; Arecaceae.